RNAcentral lists this small nuclear RNA (81 nucleotides) under Cavia aperea (Brazilian guinea pig). RNAcentral describes it as "U4 spliceosomal RNA (ENSCAPG00000005277.1)". The stretch from base 1 to 72 matches the Rfam family "U4 spliceosomal RNA". From Rfam's summary of the family: U4 small nuclear RNA (U4 snRNA) is a component of the major U2-dependent spliceosome. The structure of U4 snRNA from yeast and human has been reported. U4 snRNA presents a k-turn RNA motif in the 5p-SL related to recognition of Snu13 protein. The record is from RNAcentral. Lineage: Eukaryota; Metazoa; Chordata; Mammalia; Rodentia; Caviidae.
AGCUUUGUGCAGUGGCAGUAUCGUAGCCAAUGAGGUUUAUCUAAGGCAUGAUUAUUGCUAAUUGAAUAUUUGGAGAUAAAA